This 254-nucleotide small RNA is filed under the name Pongo abelii (Sumatran orangutan). Its description in RNAcentral is "processed transcript". The record is from RNAcentral. Lineage: Eukaryota; Metazoa; Chordata; Mammalia; Primates; Hominidae.
AGCUACAUCCCUCCCCUCCUUCAGCUCCUUCCGGAAGAUUCACUUCUGUGAAGCCUUCUCAGAACCGCCAUAGUACACCUCUGAGUGCGGGGCUGUAGUCGUAAAGACAAAGGCCGCCCCAUGAACAUUCAGCUUGUCACAUCACAGAUCGAUACACAGCGGAGACCUGCACAGAGCGUAAACAGAGGUGGCAUGACUAGAAACCGUGGCGCUGGAGGUUUUGGUGGUGGUGGAGGCACCCGGAGAGGCACCCG